RNAcentral lists this ribosomal RNA (481 nucleotides) under uncultured Methanosaeta sp. RNAcentral describes it as "bacterial SSU rRNA". It matches the Rfam family "Archaeal small subunit ribosomal RNA", at positions 856 to 1338 of the family's 1478-position model. The record is from RNAcentral. Lineage: Archaea; Methanobacteriati; Methanobacteriota; Methanomicrobia; Methanotrichales; Methanotrichaceae.
UCAAAGGAAUUGACGGGGAGCACCACAACGGGUGGAGCUUGCGGUUUAAUUGGAUUCAACGCCGGAAAUCUUACCGGGACCGACAGCAAUAUGAAGGCCAGGCUGAAGACUUUGCCGGAUUAGCUGAGAGGUGGUGCAUGGCCGUCGUCAGUUCGUACUGUGAAGCAUCCUGUUAAGUCAGGCAACGAGCGAGACCCACGCCCACAGUUGCCAGCGUACUCUCUGGAGUGACGGGUACACUGUGGGACCGCCGCUGCUAAAGCGGAGGAAGGAAUGGGCAACGGUAGGUCAGUAUGCCCCGAAUAUCCCGGGCUACACGCGAGCUACAAUGGUUGGUACAAUGGGUAUCUACCCCGAAAGGGGACGGGAAUCUCCUAAAACCAAUCUUAGUUCGGAUUGAGGGCUGCAACUCGCCCUCAUGAAGCUGGAAUCCGUAGUAAUCGCGUUUCAACAGAACGCGGUGAAUACGUCCCUGCUCCUC